UACGUAGGGCGCAAGCGUUGUCCGGAAUUAUUGGGCGUAAAGAGCUCGUAGGCGGUCUGUUACGUCCGCUGUGAAAACCCAGGGCUUAACCCUGGGCUUGCAGUGGAUACGGGUAGACUAGAGGCAGGUAGGGGAGAAUGGAAUUCCCGGUGUAGCGGUGAAAUGCGCAGAUAUCGGGAGGAACACCGGUGGCGAAGGCGGUUCUCUGGGCCUGAC
Molecule: ribosomal RNA, 216 nt
Filed under: uncultured bacterium
Lineage: Bacteria
Description: partial 16S ribosomal RNA
Rfam family: Bacterial small subunit ribosomal RNA
Source: RNAcentral